GACGUAGGAUGCGAGCGUUAUUCGGAUUUAUUGGGCGUAAAGCGUGCGUAGGCGGCUAUUUAAGUCUGGUGUUAAAGCUAGGGGCUCAACCCCUGUGAUGCACUGGAUACUGGGUAGCUUGAGUGCGGUAGGGGAAGGUGGAAUUCCGAGUGUAGCGGUGAUAUGCGUAGAUAUCGGGAGGAACACCAGUGGCGAAGGCGGCUCUCUGGGCCCUACCUGACGCUGAGACGCGAAAGCGUGGGGAGCGAACCGG
Molecule: ribosomal RNA, 253 nt
Filed under: uncultured bacterium
Lineage: Bacteria
Description: partial 16S ribosomal RNA
Rfam family: Bacterial small subunit ribosomal RNA
Source: RNAcentral